RNAcentral lists this ribosomal RNA (961 nucleotides) under Staphylococcus aureus. RNAcentral's name for it is "partial 23S ribosomal RNA". It matches the Rfam family "Bacterial large subunit ribosomal RNA", at positions 506 to 1473 of the family's 2925-position model. The record is from RNAcentral. Lineage: Bacteria; Bacillati; Bacillota; Bacilli; Caryophanales; Staphylococcaceae.
AGGGAAAGGUGAAAAGCACCCCGGAAGGGGAGUGAAAUAGAACCUGAAACCGUGUGCUUACAAGUAGUCAGAGCCCGUUAAUGGGUGAUGGCGUGCCUUUUGUAGAAUGAACCGGCGAGUUACGAUUUGAUGCAAGGUUAAGCAGUAAAUGUGGAGCCGUAGCGAAAGCGAGUCUGAAUAGGGCGUUUAGUAUUUGGUCGUAGACCCGAAACCAGGUGAUCUACCCUUGGUCAGGUUGAAGUUCAGGUAACACUGAAUGGAGGACCGAACCGACUUACGUUGAAAAGUGAGCGGAUGAACUGAGGGUAGCGGAGAAAUUCCAAUCGAACCUGGAGAUAGCUGGUUCUCUCCGAAAUAGCUUUAGGGCUAGCCUCAAGUGAUGAUUAUUGGAGGUAGAGCACUGUUUGGACGAGGGGCCCCUCUCGGGUUACCGAAUUCAGACAAACUCCGAAUGCCAAUUAAUUUAACUUGGGAGUCAGAACAUGGGUGAUAAGGUCCGUGUUCGAAAGGGAAACAGCCCAGACCACCAGCUAAGGUCCCAAAAUAUAUGUUAAGUGGAAAAGGAUGUGGCGUUGCCCAGACAACUAGGAUGUUGGCUUAGAAGCAGCCAUCAUUUAAAGAGUGCGUAAUAGCUCACUAGUCGAGUGACACUGCGCCGAAAAUGUACCGGGGCUAAACAUAUUACCGAAGCUGUGGAUUGUCCUUUGGACAAUGGUAGGAGAGCGUUCUAAGGGCGUUGAAGCAUGAUCGUAAGGACAUGUGGAGCGCUUAGAAGUGAGAAUGCCGGUGUGAGUAGCGAAAGACGGGUGAGAAUCCCGUCCACCGAUUGACUAAGGUUUCCAGAGGAAGGCUCGUCCGCUCUGGGUUAGUCGGGUCCUAAGCUGAGGCCGACAGGCGUAGGCGAUGGAUAACAGGUUGAUAUUCCUGUACCACCUAUAAUCGUUUUAAUCGAUGGGGGGAC